GACACUGUAGUCUAGUGGUUUAGGAUACUUCCCUUCCAUCAAACAGUGAAGUUUCACAGCUUCCAAGGCGAGGAAGUGACACGGGUUCGAAUCCCGUCAGUGUCA
Molecule: transfer RNA, 105 nt
Filed under: Kluyveromyces marxianus
Lineage: Eukaryota; Fungi; Ascomycota; Saccharomycetes; Saccharomycetales; Saccharomycetaceae
Description: tRNA-Gly
Rfam family: tRNA
About the family: Transfer RNA (tRNA) molecules are approximately 80 nucleotides in length. Their secondary structure includes four short double-helical elements and three loops (D, anti-codon, and T loops).
Source: RNAcentral